UCCUAGUUUAUCAAAGGUGCCAUUCUCUUG
RNAcentral lists this non-coding RNA (30 nucleotides) under Mus musculus (house mouse). The record is from RNAcentral. Lineage: Eukaryota; Metazoa; Chordata; Mammalia; Rodentia; Muridae.